This 6305-nucleotide long non-coding RNA is filed under the name Equus caballus (horse). Its description in RNAcentral is "lncRNA (ENSECAG00000046151.1)". Lineage: Eukaryota; Metazoa; Chordata; Mammalia; Perissodactyla; Equidae. The record is from RNAcentral.
CUGCUGGGACAGAGAGCAGUAAGUUGUAAUUAGCAGUGAGCUAGAAUCUUUGCUCCUAGCAGAAAAGGGUCUUUAUGCCCUUACAUGCAGGUGGACAGAGCGGGGCAGCUGGAUGGAGCUGGCUGGUUAGCAGGUUCAAAGGAAUAUCCAGUUGUUCAAAUCAAGCCAGGAGGGGUUGACAUCUCCCCACUGCCUGAGAGACGAUAGGUCAGAACGAAUCCUGCUUUUCCAUUCAAGUCCUGAGCUGGUGAACGUGACCCCAUCAAGACCAGCCGGCCAGGAUGGGUCCAGAGGAGAACAUCUGCCUUUGCAUCCACUCUUUUCUGCAUGGGAAGAUCCAGCAGCAGUGGAAGUCCCAACCGAUAAAUCCCCACGAGUGGCAUUUCUGGGCCAGGAAGCCUAAUUGACGUCUCUGGAAUGGAUUUCCACUCUCGUCUCACCUAACCCCUCCGGUUUGUGGUUGAUUCGUCACUGGAGUGGGAUAGAAGGAAAGAGGGAGAGGCAAUCAGAGCUCCUGGAGUUCUUCUGAAGCCAAGCUGUCUUAGAUGCGGGAGACCGUGGGCACCAGACAGCUGUGUGAGGAGCGAUGGUCCUGAGAGACUGGGGAGAGAGACUCCAGGGCAGGAAGGACACAGAGACAACCAUGGUCUCUGAAUUAUUCAGGAGAAGCCAGCUGCAACCAGACAGCCCCAAACUUUUAACAUCACAAUCACAUUCCUGGGAGAGGAUGACUCCUAGCCAGGACUCCGCCAUUAGCAGGAAAGCAAUGGAGGUUCAAGCAGCAGAGCGCCCUGAGCUGGCUGAAGUUCCUAAAGGGCUGCCCUGGCUCCUGUGCAGAGGAUGGAGUGUGAGGGGAGAGAGAGGAAGUAGACUAACAGAAAAAGGAUGCUGGCUUGGACCUGGAGGCGGCAGUAGAAAUGCCCGUUUAAAGUUGGAGUAUUAAUGUGAACAGACCCGGGAUGGAAUUUGGAUUCCUCAUGCUUGUGACCAGAACUGGAAGGCCGGGAUGUGCCCCUGCUUUGGAGAGUGACAGAGUGGAUGUUCAGGUCAUCUGUUCCUGGCAGAAGCUUCUCCAGACUCAAGCUCGUGGCAGGGACUGGCCUCCCUCGCAGCUCUCUUGCUCUGGCAACAUCAAGAUGCCCACAGCUGGUCUUUUGUGAACCACACCGCUCAGUGAGCCUUGGCUGAUCCAAAAACCUGGUGUCAUUCGUUGACACUGAGGUCCUGAGCCCUGGUGUCUGGGCACACCUUCUCUGCCCUGCUCGCUCCCCACCUCGAGUGAGCUUUAAGAAAGAUUCUCGGGGGCAGACUGCCUCCGGCAAUGUGGUGAAGCUCUUCCCUUUCCAUCAGACCCUUCCUAGCACAGGGAAAAACUCAGCUCCCUCAAGGAGGACUGGAAAUGUCACCUAAAUUGACAGCCCCAUGCAGACAUGUAAGGUUUACGUGGUAGUCACUUUGAGUUUGUAAAAGCAAGCAUUCCUCUGCUGGGAGGAGGAAGUGGGAAGCCCGGCUGCACCUUCUCCCUGAGAUGAAUGACUGGGAGAUGUCGCAACAAACCUCAGCCCCUUCUGGGAAAGGGCGCGCUGUUUGUCUUCAGCGCCGCCAGCCCAGGGGGUGGUGGGGAUACGGAGGGAGCUCCACGCCCUUUCCGCAGAGCUCCUGUCAGGUUCCAGCCUGCAGGGCCAGAGUAGGCUGCUGGACAGAAAGAAAUGUGACUUUUCAGCAUGGGCUUCUGGCCAGCAGGGUCACCUUGCACAUCCUUUGAGGCUUGGUUCUUUGGUCUUUGCAGCUGAGCCAAAUGGCAGUGCCAGGCAGAAGGCGCUGCCCUCUGGUGUGUGGAUGCUCCUGUCAGUCAAGGCCAAAGAGACUCCAGCUGCAGUUUCUGAUGAAAGGCGCCUUGCAGCCCUGGCGCUUGGCAUUCUGCAUGGGGCUCCAGUGUGACUGGGAGGGGCCUCCCUCUGCAGCUGGAGCAAAGUCUCACUCCGAACGAGAUCUAUGGGGGCUGGGGGUGGAGAUGAGCAUGACAAAAGAAGGAAAUCACAGUUGUGUGUAUUCUGUCCCCACUCGGAAACGGGUGACGCAUCGAUAGGACACUUUCCUGCAAUUCCCUCUUCUCACUCACAAAGAUUUGAAUGACUGAACAACAACAACAAAAAGCAUAGAAGACAGAAAAGAAAAGGGAAUAAAGGACAACAGUACUUUUGGCCAUUCUCCUCUUUGGGAGAUUUCAGAACCAGACAGGAGUGGAUCCAAAUUCCUCCUGAGAACCGUGGCAGCUCCAUGAUUUGGCUAACUCACAAAACCUCCUUAAGGCUCAGGGCUCGAAGUAAAGGGCUUUGGGGAUGAAAAGUUACAAGAUAGAAGGCUUCUGGAUUCCUGGGUCAUCCUUUGGAGGAGAGCUGCUCAGGAGAGUCACCCGACGUAUCCAGCUGUGAUGGGAAACCAACUUUGUGUGCUACACCACUGAGUGUUUGAGCUUUGUUUGUUAUCUUAGCUUAUCCUGUAUUAACACGUUUACACUUAGUGUCCAGAAAGGGCUAAAAUUCCAUCACCCCAGGGUUUAGAAAGGAUCAUCUAUAUAUUACCUAUCAAAAAAUCUCUACCAGGGGCCGGCCCGGUGGCGCAGCAGUUAAGUUUGCACGUUCCACUUUGGUGGCCUGGGGUUUGCCGGUUCAGAUCCCAGCUACGGACAUGGCACCGCUUGGCAAGCCAUGCUGUAGUAGGCGUCCCACAUAUAAAGUAGAGGAACAUGGGCAUGGAUGUUAGCUCAGGGCCAGUCUUCCUCAGCAUAAAGAGUGGCAGCAGAUGUUAGCUCAAGGCUAAUCUUCCUCAAAAAAAAAAAAAAUCUCCACCACUUAUUUGCUCACACAAAGUUCAUUUUGCCGAUGGUGAUGCAAGGUUAAACGAGGCCAAGAGUUUGGUGAGAUGAAUGCUUUCACGUGUUGCUUACACUGUAAAUUGCUGGAAGGUUUUGGAAGGCAAUAUUUAUCAAUUGUCAUAAAAUAUUUGUACCCUUCAAGCGAGUAGUUCCAUUCCUAGGAAACUAGCUCAAGGAAACUACGAGAAAUGUGUGUAAAAAAUACGUACAAGCCCAUUUAUGGUCAUCGUGGAAACAACAUAACUUUUCAACAACAUCAGGAUGGCGGGAAAUUAUGGUACCUGCAUGAAUGGGAUAUCAUGUGUCAAUUACGUUUGUGUUUAUGAAGACAUCUUAAUGGCAUGGGCAAAUGUUUAUGUUAGAAUGUUAGUGAAUAUCAGGAACUAGAACUACGUAAAACCCUACUUACUCUGUAUAUAUAUUUAUAGGAAGAAAGCUUGGAAGAAAAUGCACCCAAUUGAACAGUUAAUAGUGGGUUUUGUCUUCCUGAUGGAAUUGUAUGGAACUUCUAUUUUCUUCUGUGUACUUUCCUGUAUUUUCCAGUUUUAAAGAUAUAUUAUUUUUUAUAAUCAAGAAAAAAUCACAAAAAGCUUUAUUUAAAAAUGUUAUGCCAUGAGUCAGCCCUGAUGGCCUAGCAGUUAAAAUUCGGCACGCUCCACUUCGGUGGCCCGGGUUUGGUUCCCAGUCACAGAACCAGACCACCCGUCUGUCAGUUGCCACGCUGUGGCGGCAGCUCACACAGAAGAACUAGAAGGACUUACAACUAGGGUAUACAACUAUGUACUGGGGCUUUGGGGAGGGAAAAAAAAAGGGAGUAAUACUGGGAAUAGAUGUUCACUCAGGGUGAAUCUUUCCCAGCAAAAAAAAAGAAAAAAAAAUUAUGCCAGAGUGUCCCCAACAGGUUGAGGCUGCCAUUGGGCUUCUCAAAGGUGUGGUUGAACUUCCUGAGAUAUAAUCAGGGGAUAGUCAUUACCCAAGCCUCUGAAUGUAGCCCUUCUCUGACGGCCACUGAACGGUUCAUCAGAAAAGCCUCAGAUCUGCUACGGCUGUGGAGUGUCUGCGCAUGUAACAGGGGCAGUAAUCAGAGCAAAUGACUUCUGCAAGUUGGGGAGAAGUUUGCAAGUGAUGCUCAGCCCCACCUGACCUCUGACCUCUGCUGUGAAAAUGAAGAUAGAGGAAGAGGAAGGAGCACUCAGGGAAAAGUGGGGGGGGGGUGCGCGGUGGAGUGGAGAGCAAGAGUAGAGAGAGGAAGCAGAAGAGAGAGAAAGAACGUGAAGGCAGCAGAUCUUGGGGCAGAAAAAGGUACUUAGCUCCUAGCAUUGGAGAGAGAUGUCAGCAGGGAAUUUGCAACAGAAUAAGCAGAGUUAGCGAAUUAGAGGUAGAAGCAGCUUGACUAAUUGCAAGUGGAGAGACUGAGAACUUUCUGUAAUUAUUACCGAAGUCCUGAUAUCUAUCUAGACUAUGCAUUCUGCUGUAAGGGACCAGGUUAGCAUUACCAAACAAUGAUAAUAAUAAUAAAAAGAGAUGAGCAUCCAAAUAUGACCAACAUGAAGAUAUUUCCCUUACUCUAAAAAUGAAGAAUUGGCUGUUAGUAUCACAUCAGCGUUUUAUUGUUUUUAUUACUUGUUUUAAUGUUCCCCUGUGGCUCCAGAGAUGCAAAUGGGAAUGUUCGAUAGAGAGAAAAUUGAGUGUGGGUCUUCUCUAUAAUCAACGUGCUUAGUACAGCACAGUGACUUGGAGAAGGAGCGGGUGAAACACAUGGCGUCGACCGCUUCGUCUAUGACUCAGUUCAUUAAUUUAUUUACUCAUUCACUCAGCCCAAGCGCACUGAGAAGCAACUGAAAUGCACGAGGCACUGGAGACACAGACAUGAAUCAGUUCCCUGUUUUCAAAGAGCCCAGGGUCUAAUAAGAAAGACAACCAUGCAAAUAAACCGACUAUUACACAGCAUGAGAAGUGCUGUAACUAGAUGCUUUCUGAUAAUGCAGAGGCUGGACAGGAAUAGAAUCCUAUAUUUGCCAGACCCCGGUACAGCUGGGGUUCUGCAUGAGAUUUGGGCUCUGCCAGUCAGAUGUAUCCACGUGAGAUUCAACAGGUGGAAGUGAAACAUGAUGAGGUGGAAGCCACGCUUCUGCUGCUUCUAGUUCUGCUGGCAAGAUACUCGACAUUCGAGAACAGCACGCUCGGAAAUGCUAAUCACCUAGGAAGUGUGCCCUGUGCAUUUUCUGCAUUUUCAGUAAAGGAAAAGAGCUUGAAAUUUUGAGGAGGUUCGUCUCUUCCCCCAGCCGCAUGCCUCACCUGUCUUCCCGGAACAGAAGGAACAGAACAGUUGGAGAGACAGAGGACCAUUUCUUCCUUCAAGGGGAGCCCCUCUUGGAUCCCAGGGCAGCUGGCUGAGGCAGAGGUGACAGGCGAGAGCAGGUGCCCCUGCCUGAGGACCCAGAGCACCAUCCUGCAUGGCUUUAGGUACAGAUUCAUUUAUAAAGAAGUAGACAUUACUAACAGCUCCCCACCGAGGUCAAGAACAGACAUCAUUCUCAACCACAGUCUGUUCUUUUUCGAAGGAAACCAGGCAAGCUCUGAGCACUUGGAGUCAGGCUGUGCAGGAAAUGAUGGUGACCUUGGCUGAGCAGUCAAACAGAGGGCAGAGGAGAUGUUAAUGAUUCACAGCCAGGAGGCCUGGGGAUUCCUUCCACACCAACUCACUGCAGAUCCCAGAAGGAACUUUGAAGAUGAAGAUGCUCUGUGCAAGACGAUCCCAGGAGGAAGAUCUGGGCAAACAAGUCUUGAUUCAAGUUUUCUCACUCUUUAUCUCUACCACACUGCCCCUUCCAGAUCCUCCUCUCCCACACCCACACAGUUGUCACAGACUGUGAACAAAUCUCUUUGCCUUCCGCCAUCUUCCCUUCCUUCAACAAGGAUGUAUUGAGUACCUUCCUGGCACCAGGAACUAGGGAAACAGCGGUGAACAGAACAGAUGAAAAUCUCUGCCUUGGUGGAGCUUGCCUUCUGGAAGGAGGAUGCAGACACACAUCUAGCAUGUCAGACAGCGAUAAGCCAUGGAGAGAAGGGGACAGGAAAUACUGCUUAUGAUGAGAGGGGAGGGGAUUGUAAUUUUAAAGACAAGCCUCACUGAAGACCUUGCAUUGGAAAUUUUUAUUAAGCUUCUUCUCUAUGCCAGACAUCAUGCUAGCCACUGUGUAUACAUUGGGCAUAAAUUCCAAAUAAAAGCAUGAGAUUCCUGCCCUUGGAAAGCUUACAGUCUAGAUCCUUGAAUUCUCAAUAUGACUCCCUUGGUGAUCUUCCCACAACACAGGGACCAUCGUAUCCCCACCCUGCUUGGCACCCUUCAAUGACAUUUCAAUGCCUCGAGGAUCAAAUCCUGGCUCCCGAGCAGGUUUAAGGCCUUCAGUCCCUGUCCCACCAC